CAAACUGAAGAUGGCGACCGGCGCACGGGUGAGUAACACGUAUCCAACCUGCCGAUAACUCUGGAAUAGCCUUUCGAAAGAAAGAUUAAUACCGGAUAGUAUACGAAUAUCGCAUGAUAUUUUUAUUAAAGAAUUUCGGUUAUCGAUGGGGAUGCGUUCCAUUAGUCUGUUGGCGGGGUAACGGCCCACCAAGACUACGAUGGAUAGGGGUUCUGAGAGGAAGGUCCCCCACAUUGGAACUGAGACACGGUCCAAACUCCUACGGGAGGCAGCAUG
RNAcentral lists this ribosomal RNA (276 nucleotides) under uncultured bacterium. RNAcentral describes it as "partial 16S ribosomal RNA". It matches the Rfam family "Bacterial small subunit ribosomal RNA", at positions 77 to 353 of the family's 1533-position model. The record is from RNAcentral.